GACGAACGCUGGCGGCGUGCUUAACACAUGCAAGUCGAACGGAAAGGCCCUGCUUUUGUGGGGUGCUCGAGUGGCGAACGGGUGAGUAACACGUGAGUAACCUGCCCUUGACUUUGGGAUAACUUCAGGAAACUGGGGCUAAUACCGGAUAGGAGCUCCUGCUGCAUGGUGGGGGUUGGAAAGUUUCGGCGGUUGGGGAUGGACUCGCGGCUUAUCAGCUUGUUGGUGGGGUAGUGGCUUACCAAGGCUUUGACGGGUAGCCGGCCUGAGAGGGUGACCGGCAACAUUGGGACGGAGAGAGGGCCCAGAAUCCAACGGGAGGCAGCAGUGGGGAAUAUUGCAAAAUGGGCGGAAGCCUGAUGAAGAAAGGCCGCGUGCGGGAUGAGGGCCUUCGGGUUGUAAACCGCUUUGGCAUGUGACGAAGCGUGAGUGACGGUAAUGGGUAAAGAAGCACCGGCUAACUACGUG
Molecule: ribosomal RNA, 468 nt
Filed under: uncultured bacterium
Lineage: Bacteria
Description: partial 16S ribosomal RNA
Rfam family: Bacterial small subunit ribosomal RNA
Source: RNAcentral